Varroa destructor (honeybee mite) is the source of this 1233-nucleotide long non-coding RNA. RefSeq lists it as uncharacterized. The record is from RefSeq and is a predicted model, not a curated record. Lineage: Eukaryota; Metazoa; Arthropoda; Arachnida; Mesostigmata; Varroidae.
CUUUAAAAGGAAAAAAAAACUUAGCAAAGUUACUUCGUUGAAUUCAUAGUAAAACGUCUGCUAUCAGCGUUUUCAACAUGCCUUCAACUCUGCUACAGCAAAACUCUUGCCGAAGCACCGUGCCCUUUGAUUUCCUGCGCCGCAAUUGCUUGACUCCUUAUCAAACACAGUCAGACCUGUAAAGGAAUAAAUUUCUCUUCGCAACGGCCAACCUACUGGAAGAAAUACGAUGUGUUCCAUGAUAUGUUUUCGUUUUCCAUCUUUUUCAAUGGUCUUCAUUGGCCUCUUUCAAGCCCGGUUCGCUUGCAGGCUGCCUUGAAAGAGAAUCGUGUGGUAUAAACCAUCGCGUCUAUUGUCUCGUUAUCAGGCAUCUUUUGUCUAAGUCUUGCACAACAGGCGCAAACGGAAUGUUUCAGAUGUUUUUGCCGAAGAAAAACGAGGUGGUUACACAACACCCACAUUCAGGGUUUGUUGUUGGGACAUAGCAUAGGUCAGGAAUCGGUGCGUGUUUUCUAGUGAGAAGAGACGGACGACAGAGUGACAGCAGAUGCAAGCGGGCUAAUUGAGUACUAUUUCUAGGCUCGUGCAGGACAUACUUAAUUGCGUCAAGCUGCGACGCGUUAGUCGGCUUUGGAAGCAGCAGAAUCCUCUCUGACACGCGUAUGAGGAGAUGACAAGGAGCUCUAAAUAGCACAGUAUGAUAUUAGACCCACAGGGCUCUAAAGGAUACCGGCCACAGAAUGAGAACGUCCUGUCGAGCAAGCGCGGCCGAACUGUACUAGACUGAAUAUUAACGUAGCUUAAAUAUAUGUAAAAAAAAAAGGAAAAAGCACGUCCAUAGAUACGGAAGCGCAGAUAAUUCAUCUGAGAUUCGACAGUCUCGUGAGGUUCACAAAGCUUGAAGCUCAAAUCGAUACGUUUUUACGAGUAUGGAUCACUACGGCUUUAGAGACCAAUCGCGUUUGGUCAAUGAACCGCUACGGCGGUUCACCAUAAAUAUCCAAAUAGAAGGUCCAGGUAUUCGUAGCUCAGCGGGAAAAUUGCUUCGAUAAAAGACGCGGUGAGAAACGUUGAAGUGAUUAAAAAGUAUCGGUGCACCCUUUUCUGGUGUAAGCACACCGGCUAGAGGGGUGAAAUGAUCAUGAUCAAGUUCAAUUACAAUACAAGUUUGAACCUAUAAUAUAUGUCGCCCCCGAUACCCUUCAAACGAUUGGGUACUUGAAACAGUAAAUA